Molecule: ribosomal RNA, 652 nt
Filed under: uncultured bacterium
Lineage: Bacteria
Description: bacterial SSU rRNA
Rfam family: Bacterial small subunit ribosomal RNA
Source: RNAcentral
UGAGUUUGAUCAUGGCUCAGGACGAACGCUGGCUGCGUGCUUAACACAUGCAAGUCGAACGCUGAAGCCGACAGCUUGCUGUUGGUGGAUGAGUGGCGAACGGGUGAGUAACACGUGAGCAACCUGCCCCUGACUCUGGGAUAAGCGCUGGAAACGGUGUCUAAUACUGGAUAUGUCCCAUCACCGCAUGGUGUGUGGGUGGAAAGAUUUAUCGGUUGGGGAUGGGCUCGCGGCCUAUCAGCUUGUUGGUGAGGUAAUGGCUCACCAAGGCGUCGACGGGUAGCCGGCCUGAGAGGGUGACCGGCCACACUGGGACUGAGACACGGCCCAGACUCCUACGGGAGGCAGCAGUGGGGAAUAUUGCACAAUGGGCGGAAGCCUGAUGCAGCAACGCCGCGUGAGGGAUGACGGCCUUCGGGUUGUAAACCUCUUUUAGCAGGGAAGAAGCGUGAGUGACGGUACCUGCAGAAAAAGCACCGGCUAACUACGUGCCAGCAGCCGCGGUAAUACGUAGGGUGCAAGCGUUAUCCGGAAUUAUUGGGCGUAAAGAGCUCGUAGGCGGUUUGUCGCGUCUGCUGUGAAAUUCCCGAGGCUCAACCUCGGGCUUGCAGUGGGUACGGGCAGACUAGAGUGCGGUAGGGGAGAUUGGAAA